This 406-nucleotide ribosomal RNA is filed under the name uncultured bacterium. RNAcentral describes it as "partial 16S ribosomal RNA". It matches the Rfam family "Bacterial small subunit ribosomal RNA", at positions 30 to 526 of the family's 1533-position model. The record is from RNAcentral.
AUUGAACGCUGGCGGCAGGCCUAACACAUGCAAGUCGAACGAGUGGCGGACGGGUGAGUAAUGUAUGGGGAUCUGCCUGAUGUAGGGGGAUAACUACUGGAAACGGUGGCUAAUACCGCAUACCAUCGGAUGUGCCCAUAUGGGAUUAGCUAGUCGGUGGGGUAAAGGCUCACCUAGGCGACGAUCCCUAGCUGGUCUGAGAGGAUGACCAGCCACACUGGAACUGAGACAAGGCCCAGACGCCUACGGGAGGCAGCAGUGGGGAAUAGUGCACAAUGGGCGCAAGCCUGAUGCAGCCAUGCCGCGUGUAUGAAGAAGGCCUUCGGGUUGUAAAGUACUUUCAGCGGGGAGGCGUUACCCGCAGAAGAAGCACCGGCUAACUCCGUGCCAGCCGCCGCGGUAAUAC